Molecule: transfer RNA, 77 nt
Filed under: Photobacterium kishitanii
Lineage: Bacteria; Pseudomonadati; Pseudomonadota; Gammaproteobacteria; Vibrionales; Vibrionaceae
Description: tRNA-Met
Rfam family: tRNA
About the family: Transfer RNA (tRNA) molecules are approximately 80 nucleotides in length.
Source: RNAcentral
GGCUACGUAGCUCAGGUGGUUAGAGCACAUCACUCAUAAUGAUGCUGUCCUGGGUUCAAUUCCCGUCGUAGUCACUA